Molecule: long non-coding RNA, 783 nt
Filed under: Zonotrichia albicollis (white-throated sparrow)
Lineage: Eukaryota; Metazoa; Chordata; Aves; Passeriformes; Passerellidae
Description: lncRNA (ENSZALG00000003509.1)
Source: RNAcentral
GACAACAGGAGCUGGGAAUGUUUCCUCUGGGGACCCUGAACCCCUUCCUGUGCUCCUGCCGUUCCCCAUGGAAACCACGGGCACACAGACAGCACCAAAAUAUUUUGGGAGGCUUUAAGAGAAGAUGUGCAGAGUGAGAGUGAGCUCCACAAGCCCAGAUCGAUUGGAAUUCAACCAUCUUGGGAGCAGAGCAGGGAGGUUCCAGCUGCUGGAAAUUACACACAGCUCCUUUCAUUUCCACACAUUUUUCCUGCCUAAUUGGAGCGAGGUGAGAGCUCGGGAAGGAGCCGGACACGAUCCCUCCAUGACUCAUUCCUGAGGGAGGGAGGGAAGGAGGGACACAGGGACACUCCCUGGGGAACCAUUGCACCAGUCUGCUCUUACUGGGCACUGAAGGAGGAACCUGUUAUCUCCAGGCACCCACAGAUGUCAUUUGGAUGAGAAUGAGCAGCUGGGCCAGGAACAGAGACAGGAAGAGGUCAAAGUGUGCAGGACGUGAGGACACUUCUUGCUCAGCCACUUCUCAGUGUGGGAGCCAAUUCCAUGAGCAUUCCCAGUGCAGCUUCACUGGAGGUGUGGAUGAGGAGACAGAGCAGGUGAACACCUCACAUGGAGAUCCAGGCCUCCAGUGGCAUCCUCAGCAGCAGGAACAAGCCCUUUUCCUAAAAAAUCCAGCCAGGACAACAGGCACCAGCUGGAAGCAGCCUGUGAUGGAGAGGAUGCAAAUGUGAGAGGCUGCACUGCCGUUCUCUGCCAAUGACCUAAUGAAGCACAAGAAGGUUU